UUUCCGUAGGUGAACCUGCGGAAGGGAUCAUUACAGAGUUGCAAAACUCCCAAACCAUUGUGAACGUUACCUAUCCCGUUGCUUCGGCGGGCGGCCCGGGCCCCGCGCCCGGCGCCCCCCGGCCCCCCGUGGGCGCCCGCCGGAGGUAAACCAAACCCUUGAAUUGCAUGGCCUCUCUGAGUCUUCUGUACUGAAUAAGUUAAAACUUUUAACAACGGAUCUCUUGGCUCUA
Molecule: unclassified non-coding RNA, 232 nt
Filed under: plant metagenome
Description: partial contains small subunit ribosomal RNA, internal transcribed spacer 1, and 5.8S ribosomal RNA
Source: RNAcentral